This 70-nucleotide transfer RNA is filed under the name Omegophora armilla (ringed toadfish). RNAcentral's name for it is "tRNA-Tyr". It matches the Rfam family "tRNA". Rfam says of the family: Transfer RNA (tRNA) molecules are approximately 80 nucleotides in length. Their secondary structure includes four short double-helical elements and three loops (D, anti-codon, and T loops). Lineage: Eukaryota; Metazoa; Chordata; Actinopteri; Tetraodontiformes; Tetraodontidae. The record is from RNAcentral. RNAcentral also lists the same sequence under 1 other name.
GGUAGGAUGGCUGAGUAAAAAGCGGUGGAUUGUAGCCCCACAUACAGAGGUGAAACUCCUCUUUCUAUCA